CCCUUAGAUGUUCUGGGCUGCACGCGCGCUACACUGAUGCACUCAACGAGUUUUCGACCUUGUCCGAGAGGAUUGGGUAAUCUUUUUAAAAUGCAUCGUGAUGGGGAUAGAUUAUUGCAAUUAUUAAUCUUCAACGAGGAAUUCCUAGUAAGCGCGAGUCAUCAGCUCGUGCUGAUUACGUCCCUGCCCUUUGUACACACCGCCCGUCGCUCCUACCGAUUGAGUGCUCAGGUGAAUAAUUCGGACUGCAGCAAUGUUCGGAUCCCGGAUGUUGCCGCGGAAAGUUUAGUGAACCUUAUCACUUAGAGGAAGGAGAAGUCGUAACA
Molecule: ribosomal RNA, 326 nt
Filed under: uncultured eukaryote
Lineage: Eukaryota
Description: partial 18S ribosomal RNA
Rfam family: Eukaryotic small subunit ribosomal RNA
Source: RNAcentral